This 274-nucleotide ribosomal RNA is filed under the name uncultured bacterium. RNAcentral describes it as "partial 16S ribosomal RNA". It matches the Rfam family "Bacterial small subunit ribosomal RNA", at positions 28 to 308 of the family's 1533-position model. The record is from RNAcentral.
GAUGAACGCUGGCGGCAGGCCUAAUACAUGCAAGUCAAGGGGCCCCGCCUUUGGGCGGGGCACCGGCGGACGGGUGAGCAGCGCGUACACAACGUGCCCCUGACCGGGGGACAGCGGCGGGAAACUGCCGGUAACACCCCAUGGCGCCGCGGGGCGGCAUUGCCCGGCGGCGAAAGUUUCGGCGGUCGGGGAUCGGUGUGCGUCCGAUUAGGUAGUUGGCGGGGUGACGGCCCACCAAGCCUGCGAUCGGAGGGGGUGUGAGAGCACGGCCCCC